Molecule: ribosomal RNA, 311 nt
Filed under: uncultured eukaryote
Lineage: Eukaryota
Description: partial 18S ribosomal RNA
Rfam family: Eukaryotic small subunit ribosomal RNA
Source: RNAcentral
CCCUUGGAUGUCCUGGGCCGCACGCGUGCUACACUGAUGCAUACAGCGAGUACUCCCAGCUCCGAGAGGCUGCUGGUAAUCAGCAAUAUGCAUCGUGAUGGGGAUAGAUCUUUGGAAUUAUAGAUCUUGAACGAGGAAUUCCUAGUAAUCGCAGGUCAUCACCCUGCGUUGACUAAGUCCCUGCCCUUUGUACACACCGCCCGUCGCUCCUACCGAUUUCGAGUGAUCCGGUGAAUCAUUCGGACCGCGGCCCCUAGGCAUGCGGAAAGUCUAGUAAACCAUAUCACUUAGAGGAAGGAGAAGUCGUAACA